Long non-coding RNA from Panicum virgatum (switchgrass), 2668 nucleotides. RefSeq lists it as uncharacterized. Lineage: Eukaryota; Viridiplantae; Streptophyta; Magnoliopsida; Poales; Poaceae. The record is from RefSeq and is a predicted model, not a curated record. The transcript has 4 exons.
GUGCUUUUAUCUAAUCAAGUAUAGAACUUUCAUAUAUACUGUACUGUCGUGGACUUGAAGGAAUGCCAUUUCUCCCUCCAGAAAUGUCACUGAUCUGCUAUGGUGUGAAGAAAUAAGUUUCUUAUUUAUUUUAAUCUUGAAGUUUUAUCCUGUUUUCUAGCUUAAGUUUUAGCAGCACAUAGUUAAAACAUGAUUUAAUUGCUACAAACAUACUAAAAUACUUUUGGGAUAUACUUCUUUCAUGUACUCAAGUAUACCUAAUAUACCUAAAUGUCUAUUGUUUCUUGCUCGCCUUGCUGCUGCCAUGUUUGUUUAAAAAGUAAAGCAUUUGGUGCUUCCUAGCAGUCUACUGAUGAAUCAUACCAUUCUUGGAAAUAUUGGCAAGCAACUGAUAUUAUUUCUGUAAUUUAGUGAGCAAUAUUUACAUUCAAGUAUUUAACCUAUCUGCACUAAACUUUGCAGUAGCAUUUUGUUUUAAUAUUGGAAAGUAGCAGAAAACUAGCUCCCUGAAGUUUUUUUUAGGAUGGGGGGAAGUCACAGAUUAUUGAGGCACCAGUUUGAAAAUGACAUGCGAGUCCACAUGAUAGAAGUACAAGGUGUUAGUUAGAAGUGAUGUUUGAAAAUUGAAAGGCUCUCGAGAGUUAAGCAAAUCCUGUGUUAGGCUGCAUGUUUGCUAAGUGCAUCAAUUGACUCUUUGAGUCUUUUGUAGCAUGCAAUUGUUUAUCCUCUCAGAUAGUUGUUGAGAUUUUCAAAUGGUCAAUGCUAAAACUGCAGCUUAGAUACAACUAUAUGUCUCUAGAUGACUAAGUUAUCACAGGAUGUUUGUUUUACUCGUAGAUGCUGCUGCUGGCAGUUUUUCUUGAAUGCCAGCCAAAGUUUAUGUCUUUUAAACCUUAAUGGACCUAACUAUAUGUCUCUAAUGACUAAGUUAUCACGGGAUGUAUGUUUGUACCCAAGCCCUGAUACGUGGAGCAGCAUAAGAUGAGCCAUUUAUAAAUAUUGUUGCUGAAACUCUAGAAGAUAAUGGAUCGAAAUCCUUGAGUUUUGUUCCAUUCCCCUGAUGAUACUUGCAAUCUUAUUAAUGAGAACUUGGGGAGUGACAAUAGAGCUUAUAUAUAAAUGCAAACUACAAAUAUUUUGUUUGUGCUUAAUUUGACCACUAAAUAACAAUAGUUUAAGGGCUAGUGAUUGAAAUUAAUAGAUUCUAGAUUGCUCCUCCCUUUUGAUAUCAUUAUAAUCAGCCUGGUCUCUUCUCAGUUCACAAGAUGCCAUGUGUAAUGCACCACCGCAAAUUUUGUGGAACUGUUACAUUUCUGUAUAACAGCAUGAACUGUGUGAUUGUGCUUAGCUGCAGUUCUAUAGCAAGCUGUUUUCUGUGUCUUAACUUUAAGCACUGACAAUGAAAAAAUUGUAGGCUUGUACAGACGCAUCUGUGAUAUUGACAUAAUAUCCAGAAGUUAUAUAUCUAGCAUGCUCAUGUUUUUCAAAACACCUGUUAUUAAUUGUGGGCUGAUUGAUCCUGUGAGUCUUGCACAUCCAACAAAAUUGUGGACUCUGCAAGUUCUCAAUUUCACCGAGCCUAUAGAUAGCUUAGGUGGCAGUAUCAAGGUUUUCAUGCAUUACCUUUGCGUGCAUGAAUUCAGGAAGCUGCUGUACAUUCACAGGCCUGCACAUACCUCAUGCCCUAGAGGUUUACUGUUGUGCCUUGGAGUUUAUUUAAUUGAUCGAGUUUGGUAGUUAUUAAUUUUAUCUUAUGUUCCUUUUUUUGUCUGUUUGUUCUUUUAUUUUGAAUUGAGUAUGUGACUUUUUUCUUUAAUAUUUCCUUUCAGUAUCACCCAAGUCCGAGGCUUGCGGUUGCAGGAGAUGACAUUAGAACUUAGAAGAAUACGAGAAAUUACUGGAGGAGAAGAGGAAAGCUUUACUCAGACUGAAGACGGAAGAAAGGUUGAGGUGGACAAGGAGUUCGCAGUCCACGCAACAACUUUAAGGGAAAAGGGGCACUGAUGAAAUCUUCAUCAAGCUGGGUCUGACAAGGACAAAAAGAAAGAAAAUGCUGAAAGGGAUGACGGUGCCAAGAAGUCUGUCACUGUCAGCAUCAAUGAGUUCCUGAAGCCAGCAGAGGGCGAAAGGUGCUCCACUACACUCCUGAUGGGCGCGGUCAUCAGAGACGAUGGCGGCCACGGUGGAUUCCGUGGCGGUUACAGGCUUACAGCCCUCGCGUGAACCAGCUGCUCCCGCGCCGGCAAUUCAAGAUCAAUCGCAGUUUCCCUCGCUCGCCAGGUGGGAAGUGAGUCUGAGCUCGCAACCUGCUAUGAACUCGUUGCAUGUGUGUGGGAAUUGCUCGAUAGACGUCUAAGAAACUGUCAUUCAGCGUCAACUACUGGUCUACUGUACUGUUGGUUUGGUAUCUACCGCCGCAUCUGCGUCGUAUCCCGCGUGUACAUCUGGGCCACAGCUUGUCUGUCCCCCUUGCAUGUCUCCAUUCGUGUCUCCGAACAAACAUAUCGAUUUGUUCCCCCACAACCUUGAUUUCUGGUGCAAGAUCACGAUGGCCACAGCUUGUCUGUCCCCCUUACAUGUCUCCAUUCGUGUCUCCGAACACGUGUAACCUAUCGAUUUGUUCCCCACAACCUUGAUUUCUGGUGCAAGAUCACGGUUAAGGCGGUGA